CAAUAUCAGAGGAGGCCAAAAUCAUCUGUGUGUCUGAAAACACCCUCAGACCCCAGAGGUAUUAUUACACAAGUAC
Molecule: long non-coding RNA, 76 nt
Organism: Sander lucioperca (pikeperch)
Lineage: Eukaryota; Metazoa; Chordata; Actinopteri; Perciformes; Percidae
Exons: 3
Source: RefSeq, a predicted model, not a curated record